This is a long non-coding RNA of Plodia interpunctella (Indianmeal moth), 906 nucleotides long. RefSeq lists it as uncharacterized. The transcript has 3 exons. NCBI's taxonomy places the organism in Eukaryota, Metazoa, Arthropoda, Insecta, Lepidoptera, Pyralidae. The record is from RefSeq and is a predicted model, not a curated record.
AUAAUCAUCGGCAGAAUAUCGAUCAGUCCACAUAUUCAAUAGCUGAGUUUAGCUUGUCAUAAGCACUACUUUUUCUUGGUCAUCUUUGUCAUUCAACCUUCACCCUUUAUUCGACAUUUGUUGUGUAAAGACGUGCAAUCAAUGAAACAUAUUUUAUCACGUUUAGUGUCCGCCAAUGAGUAAAUCAAUCUAAUCUACUAAUCAAGUCUAUAACUGUGGCGACACAUCAAGGACCCUAGAGCAUAUAUCGCGCUGUGACCACCAGGGGCCCGAGUCUAAUGACAUCAGUAGACGGAACCAUUGGGCACCCACGCGCCGCCUACGGGCCGCGGAGCCUUGCAAAACCUUCGCGAGGAGAGGACAUCGUGGCGGGAGUUGACGAUAGCGGAUUGUAGACGAGAAAUUGUGGAUGAGGCAGGAGAAGCGAGGCCUUUUUAAGAAGAUGAGACAUAUUGCGCGCCAACUCCUUAAUUCAAUAUGAGGAUUAAUCAAAUAAACACCUAAAUAAUAGCACAAUUUUUAGAAAUACAAUUACAAUCAAACCAUAUCAACAAGCGUUUGAAUGGGGCACCACUACGGCACCACAAAAAUGGUCAAAAGCCACGUUUUCCACUCGGCGUUGUCCAAACGCAUGGAGUCUGAUCGAUGACGCAACCUUGGUUGUCAGUGGGCGAAGUGCUGCCGCAAUAGCCAUCAGGAAGUGAUCCGACACGCAAAACACGAAUCCAUCACGUUUUACCAUUUAUAUUAUUAUCUGCUGGGUGUUACGACGAGAAAUAUGACAAGAAAUUUUCUUUUUUUUUUUGUCUAAGUCCAACAUUAACCAUCUGUAUUAAAAUAUUUUCUGACAUGCAGAUGAGUCACCACUUACGAGUGGUGGUAUCGCUAUCUCAAUUUUUAUUCAUU